AGCGUAGACGGCGCAGCAAGUCUGAUGUGAAAGGCAGGGGCUUAACCCCUGGACUGCAUUGGAAACUGUUGAGCUUGAGUGCCGGAGGGGUAAGCGGAAUUCCUAGUGUAGCGGUGAAAUGCGUAGAUAUUAGGAGGAACACCAGUGGCGAAGGCGGCUUACUGGACGGUAACUGACGUUGAGGCUCGAAAGCGUGGGGAGCAAACA
This 207-nucleotide ribosomal RNA is filed under the name uncultured bacterium. RNAcentral's name for it is "partial 16S ribosomal RNA". It matches the Rfam family "Bacterial small subunit ribosomal RNA", at positions 568 to 774 of the family's 1533-position model. The record is from RNAcentral.